CCUACGGGUGGCUGCAGUGGGGAAUAUUGGACAAUGGGCGAAAGCCUGAUCCAGCCAUGCCGCGUGUGUGAAGAAGGCCUUCGGGUUGUAAAGCACUUUCAGUGGGGAAGAAAGCCUUGGGGCUAAUACCCUCGAGGAAGGACAUCACCCACAGAAGAAGCACCGGCUAACUCCGUGCCAGCAGCCGCGGUAAUACGGAGGGUGCGAGCGUUAAUCGGAAUUACUGGGCGUAGCGCGCGUAGGCGGUCUGAUAAGCCGGUUGUGAAAGCCCCGGGCUCAACCUGGGAACGGCAUCCGGAACUGUCAGGCUAGAGUGCAGGAGAGGAAGGUAGAAUUCCCGGUGUAGCGGUGAAAUGCGUAGAGAUCGGGAGGAAUACCAGUGGCGAAGGCGGCCUUCUGGACUGACACUGACGCUGAGGUGCGAAAGCGUGGGUAGCAAACAGGAUUAGAUACCCUAGUAGUC
This 463-nucleotide ribosomal RNA is filed under the name Vreelandella stevensii. RNAcentral describes it as "partial 16S ribosomal RNA". It matches the Rfam family "Bacterial small subunit ribosomal RNA", at positions 338 to 795 of the family's 1533-position model. The record is from RNAcentral. Lineage: Bacteria; Pseudomonadati; Pseudomonadota; Gammaproteobacteria; Oceanospirillales; Halomonadaceae.